RNAcentral lists this ribosomal RNA (253 nucleotides) under uncultured bacterium. RNAcentral describes it as "partial 16S ribosomal RNA". It matches the Rfam family "Bacterial small subunit ribosomal RNA", at positions 524 to 776 of the family's 1533-position model. The record is from RNAcentral.
UACGUAGGGGGCUAGCGUUGCUCGGAAUCACUGGGCGUAAAGGGUGCGUAGGCGGGUCUUUGAGUCAGGGGUGAAAUCCUGGAGCUCAACUCCGGAACUGCCUUUGAUACUGGCAACCUAGAGGCUGGAAGAGGUUAGUGGAAUUCCCAGUGUAGAGGUGAAAUUCGUAGAUAUUGGGAAGAACACCAGUGGCGAAGGCGGCUAACUGGUCCAGAUCUGACGCUGAGGUGCGAAAGCGUGGGGAGCAAACAGG